Molecule: unclassified non-coding RNA, 116 nt
Organism: Cavia aperea (Brazilian guinea pig)
Lineage: Eukaryota; Metazoa; Chordata; Mammalia; Rodentia; Caviidae
Rfam family: Y RNA
About the family: Y RNAs are components of the Ro ribonucleoprotein particle (Ro RNP), in association with Ro60 and La proteins. The Y RNAs and Ro60 and La proteins are well conserved, but the function of the Ro RNP is not known.
Source: Ensembl
GGCUGGUCCGAAGGUAGGGAGUUAUCUCAAUUGACUGUUCACAGUCAGUACAGAUUGAACUCCUUGUUCUACUCCCCCCCCCCCCAAUUCUCACUACUGCACUUGACUAGUCUUUA